CAGUCGCCGCGGGAAUACGAAGGGUGCAAGCGUUAAUCGGAAUUACUGGGCGUAAAGCGUGCGCAGGCGGUGUUGUAAGACUGAUGUGAAAUCCCCGGGCUCAACCUGGGAACUGCAUUGGUGACUGCAACGCUGGAGUGCGGCAGAGGGGGAUGGAAUUCCGCGUGUAGCAGUGAAAUGCGUAGAUAUGCGGAGGAACACCGAUGGCGAAGGCAAUCCCCUGGGCCUGCACUGACGCUCAUGCACGAAAGCGUGGGGAGCAAACAGGAUUAGAUACCCCCGUAGUCCCUGUCUCUUAUAC
Molecule: ribosomal RNA, 301 nt
Filed under: uncultured bacterium
Lineage: Bacteria
Description: partial 16S ribosomal RNA
Rfam family: Bacterial small subunit ribosomal RNA
Source: RNAcentral